GACGGAAGGUGCAAGCGUUGCUCGGAAUCACUGGGCGUAAAGCGCACGUAGGCGGCUUUUUAAGUCAGGGGUGAAAUCCUGGAACUCAACUCCAGAACUGCCUUUGAUACUGAGAAGCUUGAGUCCGGGAGAGGUGAGUGGAACUGCGAGUGUAGAGGUGAAAUUCGUAGAUAUUCGCAAGAACACCAGUGGCGAAGGCGGCUCACUGGCCCGGUACUGACGCUGAGGUGCGAAAGCGUGGGGAGCAAACAGG
This 253-nucleotide ribosomal RNA is filed under the name uncultured bacterium. RNAcentral describes it as "partial 16S ribosomal RNA". It matches the Rfam family "Bacterial small subunit ribosomal RNA", at positions 524 to 776 of the family's 1533-position model. The record is from RNAcentral.